Molecule: ribosomal RNA, 466 nt
Filed under: uncultured bacterium
Lineage: Bacteria
Description: partial 16S ribosomal RNA
Rfam family: Bacterial small subunit ribosomal RNA
Source: RNAcentral
GACGAACGCUGGCGGCGUGCUUAACACAUGCAAGUCGAACGGAAAGGCCCUGCUUUUGUGGGGUGCUCGAGUGGCGAACGGGUGAGUAACACGUGAGUAACCUGCCCUUGACUUUGGGAUAACUUCAGGAAACUGGGGCUAAUACCGGAUAGGAGCUCCUGCUGCAUGGUGGGGGUUGGAAAGUUUCGGCGGUUGGGGAUGGACUCGCGGCUUAUCAGCUUGUUGGUGGGGUAGUGGCUUACCAAGGCUUUGACGGGUAGCCGGCCUGAGAGGGUGACCGGCCACAUUGGGACUGAGAUACGGCCCAGACUCCUACGGGAGGCAGCAGUGGGGAAUAUUGCACAAGGGGCGGAAGCCUGAUGCAGCAACGCCGCGUGCGGGAUGACGGCCUUCGGGUUGUAAACCGCUUUCGCCUGUGACGAAGCGUGAGUGACGGGAAUGGGUAAAGAAGCACCGGCUAACUACG